GGUGAAGAGACUGAGAAGAAGGUGACCAGAGCACAAUGAUGGACAGAGCACUUGGAAAGCAGACCACGAGGCAGGGCGGUGCCCGUGGGAAGAAGGGGCUGGAGCACACUGCAGGUGGGUUGCCGAGCAGAAGCUCUAGAAGAUGAGGGCAUGAGAAGAGGAGCAAAGGACCAUGAGCUGAGGAAGGUGCUGGACAGGCACUCUUCUUUCCCUGGAUGAAGAUGAAGCCACCUACCCAAGAAGUAAAGAAAUGUCUUCUUGGCUUUUGAAAACUUGGUGUUUGGUAGGU
Molecule: long non-coding RNA, 289 nt
Organism: Meriones unguiculatus (Mongolian gerbil)
Lineage: Eukaryota; Metazoa; Chordata; Mammalia; Rodentia; Muridae
Exons: 3
Source: RefSeq, a predicted model, not a curated record